Molecule: non-coding RNA, 712 nt
Filed under: Archaeocroton sphenodonti (tuatara tick)
Lineage: Eukaryota; Metazoa; Arthropoda; Arachnida; Ixodida; Ixodidae
Source: RNAcentral
UAAAUUAAAUUUAGUUUAAAGGAAAAUCUCAAUAAAAUCUUUAUGAAAGGUAUAAAGUAUUAAAAAAUUUUUCAGAAGAUUUAAUUUAUUUAAUAAUAAAAAAUUAUUGAAAUUUAUUUCAUCAUUAAUAUUCUAGCUAAUUUUGUGCCAGCAGCAGCGGUUAUACAAAAAGAAUAAUUUUUCUAUUUAAUUAUUUAAAAUAAAUAAAAAAGUAAAUUUUUUGGAAAAUUUAAGGUGAAAUUUUUUUUUCUUUUAUUUUUAAAAAAUAAAAAAAAACUCCAACCUUAAACAAGGAUUAGAUACCCUUUUAUUUGGAGCCAAAUAUUGUUAGUAAAUAUUAAACAUGAAAGCAAAAAAUUAUGGCGGUAUCUUAAGCUUUUCAGAGGAAUUUGCUCUUUAAUGGAUAAAACACCUAAACCUUACUGAAAUUUGUAAAGUCAACUUGUAUAUCACUAUGAUAAUAAUAAUUUACUAUUAUUAUUAAACUGUUUAACUAAAUUAAAAUUAAGUCAAGAUGCAGUAAAAAUUUUAGAAUGAAGUGAAUUACAUUACUCAAAAGUAAAAAUUAUUGAAAAUUCUCUUUUUAGGAUUUGAAAGUAAAAUUUUUUAAUAAAAUGAUAAUUUGAAUUAAGAUUUAAGAUAUGUACAUAUCGCCCGUCGCUCUUUUUACAAAGAUAAGUCGUAACAAAGUUAAAGCACUGGAAGGUGCUUU